This 75-nucleotide small nucleolar RNA is filed under the name Otolemur garnettii (small-eared galago). RNAcentral describes it as "Small nucleolar RNA SNORD113/SNORD114 family". It matches the Rfam family "Small nucleolar RNA SNORD113/SNORD114 family". Rfam says of the family: The imprinted human domain at 14q32 contains two clusters of tandemly repeated small nucleolar RNAs named 14q(I) and 14q(II) snoRNAs. These two clusters are named SNORD113 and SNORD114 respectively in the HGNC approved gene symbol nomenclature. The record is from Rfam by way of RNAcentral. Lineage: Eukaryota; Metazoa; Chordata; Mammalia; Primates; Galagidae.
UGGACCGAUGAUGAUGACUGGUGGCAUUUGAGUCAAAGGUGAUAAAUAAUGUGUGUCUUGAACUCUGAGGUCCAA